AGCAUCCGCAGUGCCGUUACAUUCUCUGAAAACAUGCAUAAGGUUCACAGAAUCAAAUAGAGAAAGCAUGUAUCUGCAGCUCUUAAUGAUAGCACCAAGAGGGUGGGAUUCAGUAUCCCCAUGAAGAAUUAAAUUGACUAAGAUUGCAGAGUCUGAUUCAAUCUCAAGUUUAGAGAUGCUGCAAUUAGAUGCCAUUUUGAGGCCAAGAACAAGACCCCAAGCCUCAGCAUCUCGCACUUGACCAAUACCAAGGUUGGCCUUCUUUUUCUUUUUUCAGAGGUGAUGACUUAGAAGACUUGGCAAGAAGGUUUUAAGCCCAGGGGGGUUACUAUUGACAGCAACCACUAUGAUUCAGAUCAAGUAUUAUUGACUCUCGAUCCCACUUAUUUGAGGCCUUGAGGGGAUUCCAAAUAAUUAGUUAAUGGUUUAACUAUUUUGGUUCCUGCUGCCCCUGAUCUAGCUAGCUAUCUGUGUGUAGCAUGAACUUUGAACACCUGGAAUUGGAUUUGGAAUGUAUCAAGUUAUUCAAACAGAUUGACAACAGAAAGGUAAUAAUUGCCGAGCCGACUAAAGUGCAGAUUCCAAAAGUUUUCUUGUAUUUUGUUUGUGUUGCUUAUAAAUACAUGGACAUGGAGUUGUAUCUUUUGUUUGGCCAGGAUGAAGAAGAAAUAUUCUCAAGGCUGAAUUUAUUAUCAAUGUGUAGUGAUGUAUAUAUUUCAUGAAUGGAUAUGGUGGUCAAAUGCGUACUCAAUGUGCCUCGAGCUGUUAGGAUGUGAAGGCAUAUUGAUAUUUUUGUCAAGUCCUCUGUCCAACCAUUAACACAUGCGCAACAUGUGAAGAAAGAAAGGUUAAAAUUUUUUUAACCAAGAUUGUUGUUUGUUGUGUCUAUGGUACGCAAAGAAUGGACGAAAAGGAG
Long non-coding RNA from Rosa chinensis, 916 nucleotides. RefSeq lists it as uncharacterized. The record is from RefSeq and is a predicted model, not a curated record. Lineage: Eukaryota; Viridiplantae; Streptophyta; Magnoliopsida; Rosales; Rosaceae. The transcript is spliced from 3 exons.